AUUGAACGCUGGCGGCAGGCUUAACACAUGCAAGUCGAGCGGGGUGAUGGUGCUUGCACUAUCACUUAGCGGCGGACGGGUGAGUAAUGCUUAGGAAUCUGCCUAUUAGUGGGGGACAACAUCUCGAAAGGGAUGCUAAUACCGCAUACGUCCUACGGGAGAAAGCAGGGGAUCACUUGUGACCUUGCGCUAAUAGAUGAGCCUAGGUCGGAUUAGCUAGUUGGUGGGGUAAAGGCCUACCAAGGCGACGAUCUGUAGCGGGUCUGAGAGGAUGAUCCGCCACACUGGGACUGAGACACGGCCCAGACUCCUACGGGAGGCAGCAGUGGGGAAUAUUGGGCAAUGGGGGGAACCCUGAGCCAGCCAUGCCGCGUGUGUGAAGAAGGCCUUAUGGUUGUAAAGCACUUUAAGCGAGGAGGAGGCUCUUUUGGUUAAUACCCAAGAUGAGUGGACGUUACUCGCAGAAUAAGCACCGGCUAACUCUGUGCCAGCCGCCGCCGUAA
This 503-nucleotide ribosomal RNA is filed under the name uncultured bacterium. RNAcentral describes it as "partial 16S ribosomal RNA". It matches the Rfam family "Bacterial small subunit ribosomal RNA", at positions 30 to 523 of the family's 1533-position model. The record is from RNAcentral.